CUGGGUUUUAUACAUGGAUGGAAAGAAGAAGUUCUAAACUGAACAGCUUCAAAGUCCACAAAAUAUUUCUUGUCUGGGGAUAUUUUAUUCAUUUAUUUAAAUGUGGUGCUGAGAAUUGAACCCAGGGCCUCACACAUGCUAGGCAAGUGCUCUACUAUUGAGCCACAACUCCAGCCCCAAUACAAUAUCUUUUUAUUUAUUUAUUUUUAUGUGGUGCUGAGAAUCCAACCCAGUGCCUCACACAUGCCAGACAAGCACUCUACUGCUAUGCUAUAAUCCCAGCCCCAGUUUUUAAAUUUUUGAUUUAAAUUCAAUGAUGCGUAAACCUGGAUUCUCUUUGCUUUUCCUUCGCAUAGUCCCUGUAUAGUCCUUACAACUAUCUAGGGAAAAAAAUUCACACCCAUAUAUGUAUAUGUAUAUACAUAAUGUAAAUAUAUAAUAUGGUUGUGUAUAUAUUUUACUUUGUGGGUUUCCCUCCACCAACUGGAAAUUGAAUUCAGGGGCACUCCACCACUGAGCUCCUUCCUUCCUUCCUUCCUUCCUUCCUUCCUUCCUUCCUUCCUCCCUUCCUCCCUUCCUCCCUUCCUCCCUUCCUUCCUUCCGUUUUGAGACAAGGUCUAACUAAGUUGUCCAGGAAGGCCUUGAAUUUGUGAGCCUCCUAUUUCAACCUCCAGAGUAGCUGGGAUUACAGGUAUAUGCCACCGUGCCUAGCCUCAUCAAAAUUCUUACUGAAUUAUAGUAAAAUGUAAAAAAUAAACAAAAGUAAUAAGAUUAAAACAACCCAGAC
Molecule: long non-coding RNA, 787 nt
Filed under: Marmota monax (woodchuck)
Lineage: Eukaryota; Metazoa; Chordata; Mammalia; Rodentia; Sciuridae
Source: RNAcentral